RNAcentral lists this ribosomal RNA (253 nucleotides) under uncultured bacterium. RNAcentral describes it as "partial 16S ribosomal RNA". It matches the Rfam family "Bacterial small subunit ribosomal RNA", at positions 524 to 776 of the family's 1533-position model. The record is from RNAcentral.
UACGGAGGGGGCUAGCGUUGUUCGGAAUUACUGGGCGUAAAGCGCACGUAGGCGGCUUUGUAAGUUAGAGGUGAAAGCCCGGGGCUCAACUCCGGAAUUGCCUUUAAGACUGCAUCGCUAGAAUUGUGGAGAGGUAAGUGGAAUUCCGAGUGUAGAGGUGAAAUUCGUAGAUAUUCGGAAGAACACCAGUGGCGAAGGCGACUUACUGGACACAUAUUGACGCUGAGGCGCGACAGCGUGGGGAGCAAACAGG